RNAcentral lists this non-coding RNA (24 nucleotides) under Cricetulus griseus (Chinese hamster). The record is from RNAcentral. Lineage: Eukaryota; Metazoa; Chordata; Mammalia; Rodentia; Cricetidae.
UCUGGCUGGCCAACAAGGAUUGUA